AAGUCGUAACAAGGUUUCCGUAGGUGAACCUGCGGAAGGAUCAUUAUUGAAUAAGCUUGGUUGGGUUGUUGCUGGCUCUCAGGAGCAUGUGCACGCCUAACACCAACUUUUACCACCUGUGCACCUUCUGUAGACCUGGAUAAAACUCUCGAGGAAACUCGGUUUGAGGAAUGCUGUGCGCAAGCCAGCUUUCCUUGUACUUCUGGUCUAUGUUUUUAUAUAUAAACUCCUAUAGAAUGUCUCGGAAUGUUUGUUUGUUGGGCUUGAAUGCCUUUAAACUUAAAUACAACUUUCAACAACGGAUCUCUUGGCUCUC
RNAcentral lists this unclassified non-coding RNA (316 nucleotides) under Tricholoma terreum. Its description in RNAcentral is "partial internal transcribed spacer region". The stretch from base 1 to 46 matches the Rfam family "Eukaryotic small subunit ribosomal RNA", at positions 1786 to 1831 of the family's 1831-position model. The record is from RNAcentral. Lineage: Eukaryota; Fungi; Basidiomycota; Agaricomycetes; Agaricales; Tricholomataceae.